Molecule: ribosomal RNA, 277 nt
Filed under: uncultured eukaryote
Lineage: Eukaryota
Description: partial 18S ribosomal RNA
Rfam family: Eukaryotic small subunit ribosomal RNA
Source: RNAcentral
UAGCAUAUGCUUGUCUCAAAGAUUAAGCCAUGCAUGUCUAAGUAUAAACACCUUUAUACUGUGAAACUGCGUACAGCUCAUUACAUCAGUUAUUAUUUCCUUGAAUGUCACUUACUACAUGGAUACCCGUAGUAAUUCUAGAGCUAAUACAUGCGUAGAGUCCCGACUUUUCGGAAGGGAUGUAUUUAUUAGAUUUCCAAGCCAGCCGGUGAGGGGGGCAACUCCUUCACUCUCAUGGUGAUUCAUAGUAACUUUAGCGAAUCGCUGCUCCGCAGCC